This 539-nucleotide ribosomal RNA is filed under the name Bifidobacterium animalis subsp. lactis. RNAcentral describes it as "bacterial SSU rRNA". It matches the Rfam family "Bacterial small subunit ribosomal RNA", at positions 158 to 699 of the family's 1533-position model. Lineage: Bacteria; Bacillati; Actinomycetota; Actinomycetes; Bifidobacteriales; Bifidobacteriaceae. The record is from RNAcentral.
GGGUGGUAAUACCGGAUGCUCCGCUCCAUCGCAUGGUGGGGUGGGAAAUGCUUUUGCGGCAUGGGAUGGGGUCGCGUCCUAUCAGCUUGUUGGCGGGGUGAUGGCCCACCAAGGCGUUGACGGGUAGCCGGCCUGAGAGGGUGACCGGCCACAUUGGGACUGAGAUACGGCCCAGACUCCUACGGGAGGCAGCAGUGGGGAAUAUUGCACAAUGGGCGCAAGCCUGAUGCAGCGACGCCGCGUGCGGGAUGGAGGCCUUCGGGUUGUAAACCGCUUUUGUUCAAGGGCAAGGCACGGUUUCGGCCGUGUUGAGUGGAUUGUUCGAAUAAGCACCGGCUAACUACGUGCCAGCAGCCGCGGUAAUACGUAGGGUGCGAGCGUUAUCCGGAUUUAUUGGGCGUAAAGGGCUCGUAGGCGGUUCGUCGCGUCCGGUGUGAAAGUCCAUCGCCUAACGGUGGAUCUGCGCCGGGUACGGGCGGGCUGGAGUGCGGUAGGGGAGACUGGAAUUCCCGGUGUAACGGUGGAAUGUGUAGAUAUCG